GAAAUGCGAUAAGUAAUGUGAAUUGCAGAAUUCAGUGAAUCAUCGAAUCUUUGAACGCACAUUGCGCCCGCCAGUAUUCUGGCGGGCAUGCCUGUUCGAGCGUCAUUUCAACCAUCAAGCCCCCGGCUUGUGUUGGGGACCUGCGGCUGCCCGCAGGCCCUGAAAACCAGUGGCGGGCUCGCUGUCACACCGAGCGUAGUAGCAUACAUCUCGCUCAGGGCGUGCUGCGGGUUCCGGCCGUUAAAAGCCUUUUUUACCCAAGGUUGACCUCGGAUCAGGUAGGAAGACCCGCUGAACUUAAGCA
Molecule: unclassified non-coding RNA, 304 nt
Filed under: plant metagenome
Description: partial contains 5.8S ribosomal RNA, internal transcribed spacer 2, and large subunit ribosomal RNA
Rfam family: 5.8S ribosomal RNA (bases 1-105)
Source: RNAcentral